CUACAGCCAAUUAAGCUGUCCUGGUUCCUUUCCUCAUGCUGGCCCAGUGUGCAGUGGCUGCAAACAGCAGCCUCCUUGGGUAGUGUAGUAACCUGUUGUAUAUAUAUGUUGCCCAAAGGACCUUGGAGACAGUC
Small nucleolar RNA from Jaculus jaculus (lesser Egyptian jerboa), 134 nucleotides. Its record names the gene SNORA70. It matches the Rfam family "Small nucleolar RNA SNORA70". From Rfam's summary of the family: snoRNA U70 seems to be exclusive to mammals and is a member of the H/ACA class of snoRNA which contain H (ANANNA) and ACA box motifs. H/ACA box snoRNAs are involved in the conversion of uridines to pseudouridines (5-ribosyluracil) a constituent of structural RNAs (transfer, ribosomal, small nuclear, and small nucleolar). The record is from Ensembl. NCBI's taxonomy places the organism in Eukaryota, Metazoa, Chordata, Mammalia, Rodentia, Dipodidae.